Molecule: small nuclear RNA, 103 nt
Filed under: Phascolarctos cinereus (koala)
Lineage: Eukaryota; Metazoa; Chordata; Mammalia; Diprotodontia; Phascolarctidae
Source: RNAcentral
UCACUUGAGCAGUAUAUACACUACAAUUAGAAAAAUAUAAAGAAGAUUGGAAGGGUCCCUGAACAAUGAUGACUUGCAACUUUGUGCAUCAUUACAUACACAC